Molecule: long non-coding RNA, 2002 nt
Organism: Drosophila montana
Lineage: Eukaryota; Metazoa; Arthropoda; Insecta; Diptera; Drosophilidae
Exons: 5
Source: RefSeq, a predicted model, not a curated record
GAUCUUAAUUAUUUGCAUGGAGCCCACGUAACCCUGGUGAUUGUUUACGUUUUUCACUUGCAAAUUAAAUUGAGAAAAAAAUAAUAUAAUUUGUGCUAAAACUGUUGUGGGGAUAAGUAUUAUUCUCUACACAUAUAAGGUGAUGUGUAUAUAAGGCCAUAAAUGCAGGUAUAUGAUGGUUUUAUUGAAUUUACAUGUGGAGGAGUGCAGAGACUUCUAAUAUUGGACGGAACGAAAGCCUAUGUGUGCAGGUAUGUAUUGUUGUACUUGCAUACAUCAGUAUGGCGAUCGGUCGAACUUGGUUAAGCACUUGUACAUAUAUAUGCCUGUUGGCCACGGAUUAUAUGAUUGUGUUUGAUUUUUAAGGAGGAAAAAUGUCACUAUCUUUAAUCACGGAAAAUGUGAAUCGGAAAAAAUAUGUCAAAACAUGAAAUCGGACUCGAAUUGCCGGAAUUUUUGCAAUGGACAGGUUCGGCUAAGUACACUGCUACUUACCUUAUUUGAGUUUGAUUGCUCCUGGAAUUUGCUUCUCCUGCAGGUCCACCGAUGCGUGCUGGGGCGAAUUGGAUACUCCGUUAAAAUUAUUUGUGAUAAUUUAUAGAAGAAACUUCUAUCCGGCUCGAAGGACCAAUAUUUGUAGUAGGGCGUCCGCAGGGCUUCCAAUGAAAGGUGGGCGAAUUGCUGCUCCUGUUGGGGGCUUUUGCUGUGGAAACUGACUUUUUUCCCUUGUAGAAAAAACACGUUGGGUUCACUAUAAAGUUACUUUUCGUCUAUAUUUUUUUCUGAAUUUAGGUGUAAGUGUGUGGUGAAUAUAUUUGUUGUUCUGGUUCCGGAGUCAGAGCCAACUUCAGCGAAGUAGCGACGGCUAGAUACACUUCUUGUGUGAAAUCAAUCAAAUAGUACUUUGUUCAAUCAAUCUAAUGGUACUUUAAAUAAUCAAUGCUAUCAUUCUGGUAAUGCAUUGAUUGUUAUUAAUAUAUUUGCUACGAAAACAAGCUUUGGAUUAAGUUAAUCAGAUCUCAAAAAUUGAUCGUCAAGGAGAAGAAAUUAUUUUCUUAUGGAAUACAAUUUUAAUUAUGAAGGAACGAUUUUGCGGAGGGGUACAUAAAGCGAAAUUGACGCUGCCAGUUUCACCAAUCUCUUCGUUUGGGGACUUUGCGGCAUUUGAAGAAUGUCUAAAAGAAAAGAAGACCUCAGCAAAUUUAUGCUAAUUUGUUUCAUAAAAUUAGAUAUAAAAAUGCACCGAUAUUUUUGGAUAUCCCUUUGUUUAAAAUUUAUUUUUUGGCAUGCCUCCACUUGUCCGUAGCUUCACGUUUCGCUUCCGGGACAAGAGUACUUUCAGCUUCUCCUAAAAUAUUUGUGGUUGCUUGAGUUGCCAAAACUGCCGGGCACACAACUAACUGAGGUAUUUGCCUGACAUGGUCAUGCUCCACAAGUACUGCGUCCAAAAGUGUGUUUGCCGAUUUAUUUAUUCCCUGAAGUUGGCCGCGCCGGUUAACUCAUCGGAUUCUCUGGGUGUAGUCCCAUCCCUGGCCCGCAGUCCGCACAAUCGAUAACAACAGAGCUACACGUCUGUAGCAAAACAGACUCCCACAGCACUAUUCAAAAAUGAACCACAUAAUCGAUAACAAAUAUUCGGAUCUGCUAACUCAUGAUCAAGAUAAACAGCUGUAACAACAAUGAAAAUGUAAACAACAAAGAUCGGGCCCCGGUUCCGGACCCAGCGUACCCGCCCUACCAUGAGACGAUCACCUACACAUUUCGUAGACUAAAAGUAGAACUUUUCAAAUUCCAGCCAAAUUGUUUACUUUCGAUAAAGGCAAGGUGUGUCCAUCGGCAAAGCGACUUUCGAUUUUCUUAAUAAUAAUCAAUAUGUGUCCCUGAGCUUUGCCUUCCUACAGCGACUUUGUUGAUCGUUAUUUUACAAUUUUAAUUUAAUUUUAUUAAUUUACAAUUUAAUGUCACAACAUUAUCAGUUCUAUUAACAGCCUUGCAAUUACUA